AAAAAUGUAAAUUUUCAUAUUAAGUGAUUAUAAGUUAAGUUCUUUAAAGUUAAAUGAUUUGGCGGUAUUUUAGUCUUUUCAGAGGAACCUGUUCAGUAAAUGAUAAUCCACGUUAUAUUCUUCUUUAUUUAGAAAUUUUUAUAUCGUCGUUAUUAAAUAUUUUAUAAGAAAAUUAAUAUUUAAAAUUUUUAAUUAAAAAUUAAUUCAGAUCAAGGUGAAGUUUAUAGUAAAGUUGAAAUGGGUUACAAUAUAAAAAUAUUUGGAUUUUUAAUUUAAAAUUAAAAUGAAAAUGGAUUUGAAAGUAAUUAAUAUAAAAUUUUUAUUAAUGAUUUAGCUCUAAAAUGUGC
RNAcentral lists this ribosomal RNA (347 nucleotides) under Sulcolotis sp. CO829. Its description in RNAcentral is "partial 12S ribosomal RNA". Lineage: Eukaryota; Metazoa; Arthropoda; Insecta; Coleoptera; Coccinellidae. The record is from RNAcentral.